AGUGAACGCUGGCGGUAGGCCUAACACAUGCAAGUCGAACGGCAGCACAGUAAGAGCUUGCUCUUACGGGUGGCGAGUGGCGGACGGGUGAGGAAUACAUCGGCAUCUACUUUUUCGUGGGGGAUAACGUAGGGACACUUACGCUAAUACCGCAUACGACCUACGGGUGAAAGCAGGGGAUCUUCGGACCUUUCGCGAUUCAAUUAGCCGAUGUCGGAUUAGCUAGUUGGCGGGGUAAAGGCCCACCAAGGCGACGAUCCGUAGCUGGUCUGAGAGGAUGAUCAGCCACACUGGAACUGAGACACGGUCCAGACUCCUACGGGAGGCAGCAGUGGGGAAUAUUGGACAAUGGGCGCAAGCCUGAUCCAGCCAUACCGCGUGAGUGAAGAAGGCCUUCGGGUUGUAAAGCCCUUUUGUUGGGAAAGAAAAGCAGCAGGUUAAUACCCCGCUGUUCUGACGGUACCCAAAGAAUAAGCACCGGCUAACUUCGUG
This 492-nucleotide ribosomal RNA is filed under the name uncultured bacterium. RNAcentral describes it as "partial 16S ribosomal RNA". It matches the Rfam family "Bacterial small subunit ribosomal RNA", at positions 29 to 507 of the family's 1533-position model. The record is from RNAcentral.